Molecule: ribosomal RNA, 126 nt
Filed under: Klebsiella pneumoniae
Lineage: Bacteria; Pseudomonadati; Pseudomonadota; Gammaproteobacteria; Enterobacterales; Enterobacteriaceae
Description: partial 23S ribosomal RNA
Rfam family: Bacterial large subunit ribosomal RNA
Source: RNAcentral
UGAGUUCUCCCUGAGACUGUAAGUCUCCUGAACGAACGUUGAAGACGACGACGUUGAUAGGCCGGGUGUGUAAGCGCAGCGAUGCGUUGAGCUAACCGGUACUAAUGAACCGUGAGGCUUAGCCUU